RNAcentral lists this ribosomal RNA (258 nucleotides) under uncultured bacterium. RNAcentral describes it as "partial 16S ribosomal RNA". It matches the Rfam family "Bacterial small subunit ribosomal RNA", at positions 524 to 780 of the family's 1533-position model. The record is from RNAcentral.
UACGAAGGGGGCUAGCGUUGCUCGGAAUCACUGGGCGUAAAGGGCGCGUAGGCGGCCAUUUAAGUCGGGGGUGAAAGCCUGUGGCUCAACCACAGAAUUGCCUUUCGAUACUGGAUGGCUUGAGACCGGAAGAGGUAAGUGGAACUGCGAGUGUAGAGGUGAAAUUCGUAGAUAUUCGCAAGAACACCAGUGGCGAAGGCGGCUUACUGGUCCGGAUCUGACGCUGAGGCGCGAAAGCGUGGGGAGCAAACAGGAUAG